Leptonychotes weddellii (Weddell seal) is the source of this 1410-nucleotide non-coding RNA. Lineage: Eukaryota; Metazoa; Chordata; Mammalia; Carnivora; Phocidae. The record is from RefSeq and is a predicted model, not a curated record.
UUUAGGUCUUGAGAUUUGAGAAUAUUCUGUCCUCUAUUCUCCACUUUGGAAUCCUCCCACUGGCCAACGCAAAAUUGCAGCAAGGAAUUCCUCUGCCCAACCCACACAAAAUCUCAUUUGUCAAUUCAGAUAUUGAAGUUUUUGAGCCCAAGGAAUUUUAUAGACAAAAGGCUUAGCUUUUAAAGCUUGCAGUCAACAAUGAAAAGCAUUGAAACUUGAGUUUGAAAAUCAGACCAAGUCUGAUUUCCCUUCACAGCCAGAGUUACUCACACCACAGUACGAGGAGGCGCACCGUGGUGUGCUUUAUUUUAUUAAUUCCACAAAACAACCUUGGAUUGGCAGUCCCAUUUAAAACAAGGAAAGCGAGGCCUGGAUGAGACUUGACUGGCUCUUCUGAACUUUUGCCCGAACCAAAGACUCUCCUCAAGGUUCAGGGAUCUGUUGUGAGCUGUUUCCUCAUUAAUCAUUAUCAACUUCAGAACACCUUUUUUCUACCAUUUUGGUGCUUUUUUUUUGAGGGAGGGGGAGUAAGAUUCCUAGGGAAUUCUCCGAUCCCAUACACUAUCCUGCCCUCCCGCUUCCCUCCCCACCUCCCCUUCUACAGCUGCUCAAGUCACAUAAGGAGACAGUAAUCCCAAGUGGCCUGUUCCUAUGGCUGAGGCACUCACAAGGGGACAGUGGCGGGGAGGGUGUGACACAGGAGGACCUGGGAAAGAAACCAUCUCUCCCUCACCCCUUAGCAAACCCCAGAGGCCUAUGGUGGCCGGUGGCCGGAGUGUGACAUUAUCUUCACCCUUGCCUCCUUUUCAGGGAUUCCUUUUGAUUUCCACCGACCUGAAGUAUGAAACAUCCUUAAAGCAGCAGCUAAGUUUCCAUGGUUGGGAAGGUCUGAACCUCAUAAGUGGACAGUGGAGGGGGAAGCCAGUCGCCUGAUUGCCUGUUUGGAGUCCACUCCAGGAAGUAAAUGGCCCUUAAUCCACAGCUACUGUAAGCCCAGAGGGGAAGACAGUGCACACUGGAUUGUAAAGCCCUUGUGAAGUGCUUAGGCUGACAGUUUUCUUUCUCAAGCCCUCAGGGUCGGAGGCAGGCAAACUGGUUAAAGAGCUAAAUCGGGGUGUGUGUCUGUGUGUGUGGAGGGGUAGGCGUUUCAAUGUGUGUUCGUGUUCGAAUGCACAUUGUGUGUUCCUGUGUUUAUAAGGUGCUGGGGCCGAGAGCUAGCCAUGUGCCUCUGAGGAGGUGCAUGAGAAACUCCGAAGUACAGAUUUGCAUGAGUUCUUGCUGGAGGAGCUCCCUUUAGCUCUCUCUGCAGCCCAGGGUUUUCCCCACUUCCCCGCAUAUUAGAUUUUAUGUUUUUAUAUUUACUGAUACUGUCCCCUGUAUUUAAUUAAACCUGUUUUCUAUUAAUGUCAA